UCCCCUUGGCAGUGGGCAAAGAAACACCUUGUUGGUGGUGUUGCUCUUAUAUCAGUCGGGGCACAGCAGGUGAAGUCCUUUGUUCAUCCUAGUUUGAUGUCUGGCUUGAUGGCUAAAGUUGUUUUAUGCAUGGGACACAUAA
Molecule: small nucleolar RNA, 142 nt
Organism: Mus caroli (Ryukyu mouse)
Lineage: Eukaryota; Metazoa; Chordata; Mammalia; Rodentia; Muridae
Product: small nucleolar RNA SNORA48
Source: RefSeq, a predicted model, not a curated record